Canis lupus familiaris (dog) is the source of this 337-nucleotide non-coding RNA. The record is from Rfam. Lineage: Eukaryota; Metazoa; Chordata; Mammalia; Carnivora; Canidae.
AGAUGUGAGAGUGAUCUGGCUGUGACAUUUGUCACCCCACUGAUCGCCAGGGUUGAUUCAGCUGAUCUGGCUGUCUGGGCGGGUGUCCCCUUCCUCCCUCACCACUCCAUGUGCAUCCCUCCAAAAGCUGCACACUUGGUCAAAGACGACGACAAUCCCCAGAAGAGGAGAACCAUUCUUCAGUCAAGGAUAUAUGAGAAGCUGCGCUCCCCUGAUAAAACCUCCAAACAAGCUCUCAAAUGACACACACAUGAAGUAUUUAGCUAACGUAUGGCACACAGCACAAGCUAAAAAAAAGUAUCAACUAACAUUGCUAUUUCCACACCUUUUUAUGUUG